Long non-coding RNA from Mirounga angustirostris (Northern elephant seal), 1192 nucleotides. RefSeq lists it as uncharacterized. The transcript is spliced from 3 exons. The record is from RefSeq and is a predicted model, not a curated record. NCBI's taxonomy places the organism in Eukaryota, Metazoa, Chordata, Mammalia, Carnivora, Phocidae.
UAGAAAUUCUCUCUCUCUUGCUCUCCCUCUGCCCCUCCUUCCAACUCUCUCUAAAAUAAAUAAAUAAAUCUUGUUUAAAAAUUAAAAAAAAAUAAAAGAUUUGAACACAUUUUUAUCAAUGAAUAAUUAGUCUUAAGCUAACCAAUUAAGUAUAUAUAACCAAAUAAUACCAAUUAACCAAUUAAGUAUAUAUAAGUAUAUAUAACCAAAGUAUAUAUAACCAAUUAAGUAUAUAUAACCAAAUAAUAAUUUUGUAAAAAAAAUUAAUAACUAGGCUAUGUAUGAACAUAGAACCAAAACCAACUUGGAACUCAACACACACACACACACAAAUCUGAUUAAAAACAGGCAGAUGACAUGAAUAGACAUUUUUCCAAAGAAGACAUCCAAUAGACACAUGAAAAGAUGCUCAAUAUCAGUAGUCAUCAGGGAAUUGUAAAUAAAACCAUAAUGAGGUAUCAUCUUACACCUGUCAGAAUGACUAGAAUAAAAAAGACAAGAAAUUACAAGUAUUGUCAAAAAUGUGGAGAAAAAGAAACCAGCUUGUGCUUUUGCUGGGAAUGUAAAUUGAUGCAGGCACUGUGGAAAACAGUAUGGAGGUUCCUCAAAAAAUUAAAAAUAGAAAUACCAUACCAUCCAGUAAUUCCACUACUGGGUAUUUUUUUACCCAAAGAAAACCAAAAACUAAUUUGAAAAUAUAUAUGUAUCCUUAUGUUUAUUGCAGCAUUAUAUGCCCUAGUCAAGAUAUAGAAGCAAGUGUCUAUCAAUAGAUGAAUGGAUAAAGAAGAUGCAAUAUACAUAUACGGUGGAAUAUUACUCAGCCGUAAAAAAGUAUGAGAUCUUGCCAUUUGUGACAACAUGGAUGGACCUCGAGGGUAUUAUGCUGAGUGAAAGCGCACAUCCGUCCUGGGGGCCAAUUCAUCUCAGGCCCGCCCUACAUCCCACUACUGAUAGCCGAAAUGUAGUCACAUGCUUCCAUUCCCCAAAGCAGUGAAGAAGAGGGGUGCAAACCUGAGGUUCUUGGCAAAUCCCCCAACGGAAAGUAGGUGGAGCCCAACACGGGGCUUUAACUCAGGACCCUGAGAUCAAGACCUGAGCUGAGAUCAAGAGUCGGUGCUUAACCAACUGAGCCACCCAGGUGCCCCUAAUUUUGUCUCUUAAUAUCCAUUUCCCCUUCUUCUGCAGGCACAGA